RNAcentral lists this transfer RNA (72 nucleotides) under Camelus bactrianus (Bactrian camel). It matches the Rfam family "tRNA". Rfam says of the family: Transfer RNA (tRNA) molecules are approximately 80 nucleotides in length. Their secondary structure includes four short double-helical elements and three loops (D, anti-codon, and T loops). RNAcentral also lists the same sequence under 2 other names. Lineage: Eukaryota; Metazoa; Chordata; Mammalia; Artiodactyla; Camelidae. The record is from Rfam by way of RNAcentral.
GAAGGUGUAGCUCAGUGGUAGAGUGCAUGCUUGGCAUGCACUAAGUCCUGGGUUCAAUCCCCAGGACCUUCA